UACGUAGGGGGCAAGCGUUGUCCGGAUUUAUUGGGCGUAAAGAGCGUGUAGGCGGCCAGGUAGGUCUGCUGUGAAAACUCGAGGCUCAACCUCGAGACGUCGGCGGAAACCAUCUGGCUAGAGUCCGGAAGAGGAGAGUGGAAUUCCUGGUGUAGCGGUGAAAUGCGCAGAUAUCAGGAAGAACACCCGCGGCGAAGGCGGCUCUCUGGGACGGUACUGACGCUGAGACGCGAAAGCGUGGGGAGCGAACAGG
Molecule: ribosomal RNA, 253 nt
Filed under: uncultured bacterium
Lineage: Bacteria
Description: partial 16S ribosomal RNA
Rfam family: Bacterial small subunit ribosomal RNA
Source: RNAcentral